GCAGUGUUGAUUCAGUGGUAGGAUUCUUACCUUCCACGUAGGAGACCUGGGUUCCAUUCCUGGCCAAUGGA
Molecule: transfer RNA, 71 nt
Organism: Loxodonta africana (African savanna elephant)
Lineage: Eukaryota; Metazoa; Chordata; Mammalia; Proboscidea; Elephantidae
Rfam family: tRNA
About the family: Transfer RNA (tRNA) molecules are approximately 80 nucleotides in length. Their secondary structure includes four short double-helical elements and three loops (D, anti-codon, and T loops).
Source: Rfam